UGUGUGUUUUGGGAACAACUUUGUUUUUAUAUGGUUUUAAGGAAAUGAUUUACUGAAACAUCAACCAAAUCUCUGUACAAUGGAAAUCUACAACUGAAUGACUCAAUGAUUUAGCAAAACUUCAGAUGUACAUUUGAUAAAAGUUAUGAAAGAUAUAAAAGAACCCCUCGUCCACAUGAGUGAAUUAAUUAAUGUUAAUAUUAAUAACAGUAGUAUGACCAUUCUCAAAAUUGGCUUUCGAGUUUGCCAAGCGUUACCCUCGUUCAAACACCAAGCUCUGUCCUUCAGGAACCCAACUGUUAGAAAU
This 307-nucleotide long non-coding RNA is filed under the name Physcomitrium patens. RNAcentral's name for it is "long non-coding RNA (PPAT_LNC005914)". The record is from RNAcentral. Lineage: Eukaryota; Viridiplantae; Streptophyta; Bryopsida; Funariales; Funariaceae.